ACUCAAAGGAAUAGACGGGGGCCCGCACAAGCAGCGGAGCGUGUGGUUUAAUUCGAUGCAACGCGCAGAACCUUACCCAGGCUUGACAUGCCCGAAGUAGAACGCGGAAACGCGAACGACCUGUUGAGUCAGGAGCGGGCACAGAUGCUGCAUGGCUGUCGUCAGCUCGUGCCGUGAGGUGUUGGGUUAAGUCCCGCAACGAGCGCAACCCUCGUUGCCAGUUAUCUUUCUGGCGAGACCGCCGGGAUCAACCCGGAGGAAGGUGGGGAUGACGUCAAGUCAGCACGGCUCUUACGUCUGGGGCUACACACACGCUACAAUGGCCGGUACAAUGGGCAGCUAAGGGGCGACCCGGCGCGAAUCCCAGCAAAGCCGGCCUCAGUGGGGAUCGGAGGCUGCAACUCGCCUCCGUGAACGCGGAGUUGCUAGUAACCGCCGGUCAGCACACGGCGGUGAAUACGUUCCCGGGCCUUGCACACACCGCCCGU
This 488-nucleotide ribosomal RNA is filed under the name uncultured bacterium. Its description in RNAcentral is "partial 16S ribosomal RNA". It matches the Rfam family "Bacterial small subunit ribosomal RNA", at positions 899 to 1397 of the family's 1533-position model. The record is from RNAcentral.